This 739-nucleotide transfer RNA is filed under the name Pseudanabaena rutilus-viridis CPCC 697. RNAcentral's name for it is "partial 16S-23S ribosomal RNA intergenic spacer". The stretch from base 84 to 157 matches the Rfam family "tRNA". Lineage: Bacteria; Bacillati; Cyanobacteriota; Cyanophyceae; Pseudanabaenales; Pseudanabaenaceae. The record is from RNAcentral.
UCAGAACUAAGUCAUCCCAAGGUCGAACGAAGUUUAUUGCAAAGCUUUCAAACUAAGUCAGGUUCUAAAAAAGAAGCAACAAAGGGCCAUUAGCUCAGUUGGUUAGAGCGCACGGCUGAUAACCGUGAGGUCACUGGUUCGUGUCCAGUAUGGCCCACUUGAGAAACCUUUAGUGUAAAAGCUGAAGAAAACUCUGGGGAUAUAGCUCAGUUGGUAGAGCGCUUGCCUUGCACGCAUGAAGUCAGGAGUUCGAAUCUCCUUAUCUCCACCAAACUACCAAAACCGACGAAAGCGAGAGCAAGAGUUUAGCAACUCAUCUAGUCAGGCGAAGAGCCAAAAACUAGAGAGACUGCUAAAUUCUAGCGAAAGCGAGAAUUUAGAAAGAACCUUGAAAACUGCAUAGUAAUAGUAAUAAGAAGCAAGUAGAUCCAAAGUGGAAAAGCUCUAGAAAUAGAGCCACAGAGGUCAAGCUACAAAGGGCUCACGGUGGAUACCUAGGCACACAGAGAGAAUGAAAGGAGCUUGGGAUCCUCCCCACUAACCAGGCAACAGAGGCUAUAGAAGGAUCCAUCUUCCUCCCUUUAAGCCCGAAUACCGCGGAGGUAGAGGAGGGUUCUGAUCCCUUGUUUCUAACUGGAGCAGUAAUGCUUUAAGAGAAUCUUGAGAGAAUGAGCCUCAACAGCCUGAAGCGUUAGGAGGAUUAAUUGGUCAAGCUACAAAGGGCUCACGGUGGAUACCU